UUACCUUCCAAAUUAUCUGUUACUUCUGUUCUUGUUGCAAAGAAAAAAUAAAAUUCAAUCAUGAAGAUUAUAUAUACAAUGAUAUUCGUAUUUGUCCUCUUGGUUGCGAUUGCAAGCGCAGUAGAACCAUCAGUGAAGAAACGCGAGGUUGAACCUGGUGUGUGAUGAUUCAUUUUCAUAACGUGGAGAUCAUCAUAGAAGAUCUACUGAAAAGUAGUAUGAUGUUACAUAAAUUGAUAAAUAAGAUGCAAAAAUCAAUCCAAUAAAAACAAUUUAAAAAUUAA
Molecule: long non-coding RNA, 284 nt
Organism: Microplitis mediator
Lineage: Eukaryota; Metazoa; Arthropoda; Insecta; Hymenoptera; Braconidae
Exons: 4
Source: RefSeq, a predicted model, not a curated record